UUACCUGCAAGUCGAACGGCAGCACGGGUGCUUGCACCUGGUGGCGAGUGGCGAACGGGUGAGUAAUACAUCGGAACAUGUCCUGUAGUGGGGGAUAGCCCGGCGAAAGCCGGAUUAAUACCGCAUACGAUCCACGGAUGAAAGCGGGGGACCUUCGGGCCUCGCGCUAUAGGGUUGGCCGAUGGCUGAUUAGCUAGUUGGUGGGGUAAAGGCCUACCAAGGCGACGAUCAGUAGCUGGUCUGAGAGGACGACCAGCCACACUGGGACUGAGACACGGCCCAGACUCCUACGGGAGGCAGCAGUGGGGAAUUUUGGACAAUGGGCGAAAGCCUGAUCCAGCAAUGCCGCGUGUGUGAAGAAGGCCUUCGGGUUGUAAAGCACUUUUGUCCGGAAAGAAAUCCCUGGCUCUAAUACAGCCGGGGGAUGACGGUACCGGAAGAAUAAGCACCGGCUAACUACGUGCCAGCAGCCGCGGUAAUACGUAGGGUGCAAGCGUUAAUCGGAAUUACUGGGCGUAAAGCGUGCGCAGGCGGUUUGCUAAGACCGAUGUGAAAUCCCCGGGCUCAACCUGGGAACUGCAUUGGUGACUGGCAGGCUAGAGUAUGGCAGAGGGGGGUAGAAUUCCACGUGUAGCAGUGAAAUGCGUAGAGAUGUGGAGGAAUACCGAUGGCGAAGGCAGCCCCCUGGGCCAAUACUGACGCUCAUGCACGAAAGCGUGGGGAGCAAACAGGAUUAGA
RNAcentral lists this ribosomal RNA (738 nucleotides) under Burkholderia sp. RNAcentral describes it as "bacterial SSU rRNA". It matches the Rfam family "Bacterial small subunit ribosomal RNA", at positions 51 to 782 of the family's 1533-position model. The record is from RNAcentral. Lineage: Bacteria; Pseudomonadati; Pseudomonadota; Betaproteobacteria; Burkholderiales; Burkholderiaceae.